UACGGGGGGAGCAAGCGUUGUUCGGAUUUACUGGGCGUAAAGGGCGGGUAGGCGGCCACUGCAAGUCGGUUGUGAAAUCUCCGGGCUUAACCCGGAAAGGUCAACCGAUACUGCAGGGCUAGAGUGCAGAAGGGGCAACUGGAAUUCUCGGUGUAGCGGUGAAAUGCGUAGAUAUUGGGAGGAACACCAGUGGCGAAGGCGGCUCGCUGGACCGGUUCUGACGCUGAGGCGCGAAAGCGUGGGGAGCAAACGGG
RNAcentral lists this ribosomal RNA (254 nucleotides) under uncultured prokaryote. RNAcentral describes it as "partial 16S ribosomal RNA". It matches the Rfam family "Bacterial small subunit ribosomal RNA", at positions 524 to 776 of the family's 1533-position model. The record is from RNAcentral.